GGACCCGCACAAGCGGUGGAGUAUGUGGUUUAAUUCGAUGCAACACGAAGAACCUUACCAGGGUUUGAAAUCAUUUCAAAACUCCUUGAAAGAGGAGCCUCCUUCGGGAUGAAAUGACAGGUGGUGCAUGGCUGUCGUCAGCUCGUGUUGUGAAAUGUCGAGUUAAGUCUCGUAACGAGCGCAACCCAUGUCUCUUGUUGCUCAUUGAGUGCUUAAGAGAGACUGCCGACCAACAUCGGAGGAAGGUGUGGAUGAUGUCAAGUCAGCAUGCCCCUUACAUCCUGGGCUACACACGUACUACAAUGGCCAGUACAAAGAGCAGCGAAGCCGUAAGGUGUAGCUAA
Molecule: ribosomal RNA, 344 nt
Filed under: uncultured bacterium
Lineage: Bacteria
Description: bacterial SSU rRNA
Rfam family: Bacterial small subunit ribosomal RNA
Source: RNAcentral